This 771-nucleotide ribosomal RNA is filed under the name Triticum aestivum (bread wheat). RNAcentral describes it as "partial small subunit ribosomal RNA". The record is from RNAcentral. Lineage: Eukaryota; Viridiplantae; Streptophyta; Magnoliopsida; Poales; Poaceae.
AUGGAGGUGGUGGGAGGGGUAUCGCUGAGGCCGGCGCGGCUCCGGCACCUGACGCCCGGGGAGGCCAGCGCGGGCUCCUUCCUGCCGCGGAGGCUGCAGCUGGCACGGACCGCCGCGAGGCCAGCGAGGCGCGCGCUGGUGGUGGAGGCCCGCGGGGGCAGGGGCUGGUCGGACCGGCAGUCCCAGCAGCAGCGGCGCAUGCCGCAGCUCCCCAAGAUCGAGGACGACGGCAACCCCCGCUUCGUCAUCUUCAUCCGCACCGCCAAUGUGUACUUCUGGUACCCGCUCAACAUCGUCACCGGCGGCACCACCGCCAAGAUCAUGCUCGCCGCCAAGGACAACUUCCUCGGCAAGUACAUCUACAAGGACACGCUCGCCCGGAACCUCGCCACCGUCAUUUACAAAGACGAGGACGACAUAAUCGACUUGGCGAAAGAGCAGUUCCGCGUGCUCAAGGGCGAAACCGAGUUCCGGUACGGCUACAAGAUCGUGGAGAAGGGGAACCUGAGGUCUGCACUGGCGACAAGCAACGUGCUCGAGCUCCCAAAGAAAGAAGAGCUCAAAAGUGUGGUUGACAAGGUGAGGGACUUCUUUGGUGAGGUAACCUCCGGUGCCAAAGAAUCCUUUGCGCAGAUAACAGGAUCUGCCAGCGCAGCGGAGGCCGAAGCAGAAGCAAAAGCAGAAGACAAGAGGCCCCGCUCCAAGAGACGAGGAAGCAAGAGGAAAGGGAAGCAGCAGAAGCCCAAGCAAGGGUUCAAGCCCGAGAGCUGA